This 521-nucleotide ribosomal RNA is filed under the name uncultured Pseudomonadota bacterium. Its description in RNAcentral is "bacterial SSU rRNA". It matches the Rfam family "Bacterial small subunit ribosomal RNA", at positions 387 to 896 of the family's 1533-position model. The record is from RNAcentral. Lineage: Bacteria; Pseudomonadati; Pseudomonadota.
CGCAGCAAUGCCGCGUGAGUGAUGAAGGCCUUCGGGUCGUAAAGCGUCUGUCAGAGGGGAAGAACUUCCUGUCGGUUAAUACCCGGCGGGCCUGACGGUACCCUCAAAGGAAGCACCGGCUAACUCCGUGCCAGCAGCCGCGGUAAUACGGAGGGUGCGAGCGUUGUUCGGAAUUAUUGGGCGUAAAGCGCGUGCAGGCGGCUCGCUAAGUCUGAUGUGAAAGCCCUGGGCUCAACCCGGGAAGUGCAUUGGAAACUGGCGAACUUGAGUACGGGAGAGGGAAGUGGAAUUCCGAGUGUAGGGGUGAAAUCCGUAGAUAUUCGGAGGAACACCAGUGGCGAAGGCGGCUUCCUGGACCGAUACUGACGCUGAGACGCGAAAGCGUGGGGAGCAAACAGGAUUAGAUACCCUGGUAGUCCAACGCCGUAAACGAUGGGCACUAGGUGUCGCGGGUAUUGACCCCUGCGGUGCCGUAGCUAACGCAUUAAGUGCCCCGCCUGGGGAGUACGGCCGCAAGGCUA